CUGAUGGCCAUGGAGACUGACAGGCUCUGUUACCUACAGGGCUGAGACAUAUGGGCAGAGGAACUGCAGGUUUCCCCACAAUGUCCACUCCAUGUUUCAACCCUGAACAGGAGGGGCCACCUGUACAGGUGUGAGUCUAGCUCAGUCUCCAUAUCUAUUUAGGUGAUGGCCUUG
Unclassified non-coding RNA from Gopherus agassizii (Agassiz's desert tortoise), 174 nucleotides. NCBI's taxonomy places the organism in Eukaryota, Metazoa, Chordata, Testudines, Testudinidae. The record is from Ensembl.